RNAcentral lists this ribosomal RNA (218 nucleotides) under uncultured bacterium. RNAcentral's name for it is "partial 16S ribosomal RNA". It matches the Rfam family "Bacterial small subunit ribosomal RNA", at positions 328 to 539 of the family's 1533-position model. The record is from RNAcentral.
ACGCUCGACACCUACGGAGGCAGCAGUGAGGAAUAUUGGUCAAUGGACGCAAGUCUGAACCAGCCAUGCCGCGUGCAGGAUGACGGCUCUAUGAGUUGUAAACUGCUUUUGUACGAGGGUAAACGCAGAUACGUGUAUCUGUCUGAAAGUAUCGUACGAAUAAGGAUCGGCUAACUCCGUGCCAGCAGCCGACGGUAAUCUGAGCGGGCUGGCAAGGC